CAGGGUGCGGAACAUUAUUUAGUUGGUGAGGUAAUGGCCCACCAAGACUAUGAUGUUUAGCCGGGUCGAGAGACUGAACGGCCACAUUGGGACUGAGAUACGGCCCAAACUCCUACGGGAGGCAGCAGUAGGGAAUAUUCCACAAUGAGCGAAAGCUUGAUGGAGCGACACAGCGUGCACGAUGAAGGUCUUCGGAUUGUAAAGUGCUGUUAUAAGGGAAGAACAUUUGCAAUAGGAAAUGAUUGCAGAUGGACGGUACCAAUAUAACAUCGGUUUUUCUGACUGCUCCAUCAGCUCUCUUGCUUGCUUAAUUGCAGACUGACCGGUACCACA
RNAcentral lists this ribosomal RNA (333 nucleotides) under Metamycoplasma hominis. RNAcentral's name for it is "bacterial SSU rRNA". It matches the Rfam family "Bacterial small subunit ribosomal RNA", at positions 227 to 545 of the family's 1533-position model. The record is from RNAcentral. Lineage: Bacteria; Bacillati; Mycoplasmatota; Mycoplasmoidales; Metamycoplasmataceae.